This 370-nucleotide ribosomal RNA is filed under the name uncultured bacterium. RNAcentral describes it as "bacterial SSU rRNA". It matches the Rfam family "Bacterial small subunit ribosomal RNA", at positions 356 to 737 of the family's 1533-position model. The record is from RNAcentral.
GGGGAAUUUUCCGCAAUGGGCGAAAGCCUGACGGAGCAACGCCGCGUGAGGGAUGAAGGCCUCUGGGCUGUAAACCUCUNUUUAUCAAGGAAGANAGAUCUGACGGUACUUGAUGAAUAAGCCACGGCUAAUUCCGUGCCAGCAGCCGCGGUAAUACGGGAGUGGCAAGCGUUAUCCGGAAUUAUUGGGCGUAAAGCGUCCGCAGGCGGCCCUUCAAGUCUGCUGUUAAAAAGUGGAGCUUAACUCCAUCAUGGCAGUGGAAACUGUUGGGCUUGAGUGUGGUAGGGGCAGAGNGGAAUUCCCGGUGUAGCGGUGAAAUGCGUAGAUAUCGGGAAGAACACCAGUGGCGAAGGCGNCUCUGCUGGGCCAU